UACACUCCUGCGGGAGGCAGCAGUGGGGAAUUUUGGACAAUGGGCGAAAGCCUGAUCCAGCAAUGCCGCGUGAGUGAAGAAGGCCUUCGGGUUGUAAAGCUCUUUUGUCAGGGAAGAAACGGUGAAAGCUAAUAUCUUUUGCUAAUGACGGUACCUGAAGAAUAAGCACCGGCUAACUACGUGCCAGCAGCCGCGGUAAUACGUAGGGUGCAAGCGUUAAUCGGAAUUACUGGGCGUAAAGCGUGCGCAGGCGGUUUUGUAAGUCUGAUGUGAAAUCCCCGGGCUCAACCUGGGAAUUGCAUUGGAGACUGCAAGGCUAGAAUCUGGCAGAGGGGGGUAGAAUUCCACGUGUAGCAGUGAAAUGCGUAGAUAUGUGGAGGAACACCGAUGGCGAAGGCAGCCCCCUGGGUCAAGAUUGACGCUCAUGCACGAAAGCGUGGGGAGCAAACAGGAUUAGAAACCCUUGUAGUCC
Molecule: ribosomal RNA, 472 nt
Filed under: uncultured organism
Description: partial 16S ribosomal RNA
Rfam family: Bacterial small subunit ribosomal RNA
Source: RNAcentral